CCUGCCGAGGGAGCCGCCCUCUGCUCUGGCUGGUCAAACGGGACCAGGUCCGUCUUCCUGAGAGGUUUGGUCCCCUUCAACCAGCUACAGCAGAGAUGGCAAUGCCCAGUCCUUGGAGA
RNAcentral lists this microRNA precursor (119 nucleotides) under Jaculus jaculus (lesser Egyptian jerboa). Its description in RNAcentral is "microRNA 133b (ENSJJAG00000005545.1)". The stretch from base 21 to 93 matches the Rfam family "mir-133 microRNA precursor family". From Rfam's summary of the family: mir-133 was first experimentally characterised in mouse and homologues have since been discovered in several other species. The mature sequence is excised from the 3' arm of the hairpin. The record is from RNAcentral. Lineage: Eukaryota; Metazoa; Chordata; Mammalia; Rodentia; Dipodidae.